Non-coding RNA from Gasterosteus aculeatus aculeatus (three-spined stickleback), 596 nucleotides. The record is from RefSeq and is a predicted model, not a curated record. Lineage: Eukaryota; Metazoa; Chordata; Actinopteri; Perciformes; Gasterosteidae.
GAAUCAUAAUGAUUGACGGACGGGAGGAGGAACGCCCACUCCGCCUUCACCGACCUGCAUUGAGGAUUUAACCAGAAACGUAUAGAUAUUGACCAUUGAUCCACGCGUAUUAUGGUCCGACGUGAACAAAAGUACCGACAACAGAGCGAGUAUUGCGGCUUCUGUGCAGCCGGUUCCGUCGUGUGACAGCCGGACCGUUACGCAACAUUAACGUAACGGGGACUCCAACUACCGCGGCUCAGCGGCAAAAUGUAACGUUAGUCCGCGUGAAGACGCACUAAUAUCACGGUAAUUAUACCCGUGCUUUAUGUCAGGGCUCGGGAGCCGGGUGCAGAUGACAGCGUGACCGCGGGGAGGAAGGAAGGAGCUGAAGGAGAAGCGUUAAAUGGACCCUGCGCCUGGUGGCCGCAAAAGGAACUGCAGGUAAACAUCCAGCACAGUGUUAUAAUCAGUUCAUUUAUCGGGUACAGUCAAGUGUCUCUUUGAACUUUUACGUAACUCAAACACUUCUGCUUUAUUAUACAUGUGUAAUAUUGUUUGGAUGAAAACAGCUUGAUACGUAUUGAAUAAAUGCGAGUGAGUUUAAGUCAAGUGAA